AUCUAGCUGACGAGUUCCAAACAGGACGAAACGCGCGUCCUGGAU
This 45-nucleotide non-coding RNA is filed under the name Schistosoma curassoni. Lineage: Eukaryota; Metazoa; Platyhelminthes; Trematoda; Strigeidida; Schistosomatidae. The record is from RNAcentral.